Molecule: ribosomal RNA, 514 nt
Filed under: Mesalina brevirostris
Lineage: Eukaryota; Metazoa; Chordata; Lepidosauria; Squamata; Lacertidae
Description: partial 16S ribosomal RNA
Rfam family: Bacterial large subunit ribosomal RNA
Source: RNAcentral
AGCCUUUAGCUUAACAAGUAUUAAAGGUCCAGCCUGCCCAGUGACCCGUUUAACGGCCGCGGUAUCCUAACCGUGCAAAGGUAGCAUAAUCACUUGUCCCCUAAAUAGGGACUAGUAUGAACGGCUAAAUGAGAAUCACACUGUCUCUUGUAGUUAACCUAUGAAACUGAUCUUGUAGUCCAAAAGCUACAAUAAAAACACCAGACGAGAAGACCCUGUGGAGCUUCAAAACCAAAAUCAAACUAAUGACCCUUUGGUUUUUAGUUGGGGCAACUUCGGAACAUAAAUUAACCUCCGACAAAAUAAGUUAAGACAAACAAGUCAAAACAAUUUUCCUGACCCAAUGGUCCUACCAAGACUAUUUGAACAAUGAACCAAGUUACCCCAGGGAUAACAGCGCUAUCCCCUUUUAGAGUCCCUAUCGACAAGGGGGCUUACGACCUCGAUGUUGGAUCAGGACACCCCAAUAAUGCAGCCGUUAUUAAAGGUUCGUUUGUUCAACGAUUAAAGUCCU